ACUUUUCUAGUAUAUCAAUUACAAUGGACUUCCAAUCCAUAGAGUCUGGUUUAAACCCAGAGAAAAGUA
RNAcentral lists this transfer RNA (69 nucleotides) under Symposiachrus trivirgatus. RNAcentral's name for it is "tRNA-Gly". It matches the Rfam family "tRNA". From Rfam's summary of the family: Transfer RNA (tRNA) molecules are approximately 80 nucleotides in length. Their secondary structure includes four short double-helical elements and three loops (D, anti-codon, and T loops). The record is from RNAcentral. Lineage: Eukaryota; Metazoa; Chordata; Aves; Passeriformes; Monarchidae.